Molecule: non-coding RNA, 73 nt
Organism: Melitaea cinxia (Glanville fritillary)
Lineage: Eukaryota; Metazoa; Arthropoda; Insecta; Lepidoptera; Nymphalidae
Source: the annotation of a RefSeq genome assembly
CGUUCCAUAGCUUAAUUGGCUAGAGCGCCGACCCGGUCAGUCGGAGACGCGGGUUCGAUCCCCGCUGGAACGG